CAUUAUGAAGCUACUAAGCAUUAGCCUUUUAAGCUAAAGUUAGAGAACCAACCUUUCUCCAUAAUGA
Molecule: transfer RNA, 67 nt
Filed under: Phloeomys sp. RMA-2005
Lineage: Eukaryota; Metazoa; Chordata; Mammalia; Rodentia; Muridae
Description: tRNA-Lys
Source: RNAcentral